GCAUGUGUAAGUAUAAAUAAUUCUACUUUGAAACUGCGAAUGGCUCAUUAUAUCAGUUAUAGUUUAUUAGAAAAAAUGUACUACUUGGAUAACCGUAGUAAUUCUAGGGCUAAUACAUGAGUAAAUCCUCGACUUUGAAGAGGUGUGUUUAUUAGUAUGAAAACCAUAUGCUUUUGCAUAAUAGUGAGUAAUAAUAACCUUUCAUAUCGUAUGUUGUAAUAACGAUAGUUCUUUCAAGUUUCUGCCCUAUCAGCUUUCGAUGGUAGUGCAUUGGACUACCAUGGCAGUAACGGGUAACGAAGAAUUUGGGUUCGAUUUCGGAGAGGGAGCCUGAGAGAUGGCUACCACAUCCAAGGAAGGCAGCAGGCGCGUAAAUUACCCAAUCCUGACAUAGGGAGGUAGUGACAAUAAAUCACAAUGCGGGACUUUUAGUUUUGCAAUUGGAUUGAGAACAAUGUAAAAGAGUUAUCGAUAAACAAUUGGAGGGCAAGUCUGGUGCCAGCAGCCGCGGUAAUUCCAGCUCCAAUAGCGUAUAUUAACGUUGUU
This 546-nucleotide ribosomal RNA is filed under the name Blastocystis sp. subtype 14. RNAcentral's name for it is "SSU rRNA". It matches the Rfam family "Eukaryotic small subunit ribosomal RNA", at positions 53 to 614 of the family's 1831-position model. Lineage: Eukaryota; Bigyra; Opalinata; Blastocystidae. The record is from RNAcentral.